Molecule: long non-coding RNA, 5688 nt
Filed under: Erythranthe guttata (spotted monkey flower)
Lineage: Eukaryota; Viridiplantae; Streptophyta; Magnoliopsida; Lamiales; Phrymaceae
Description: long non-coding RNA (EGUT_LNC003776)
Rfam family: tRNA (bases 1002-1074)
Source: RNAcentral
UUGGAUAUUGUAUUAUUUGUCAGGACUGAGAAAGACGUAACACCAAUGGGUGGCUUCCCUCACUAUGGUAUCGUGAAAGACGAUUACCUGAUGAUCAAAGGUUGCUGUGUGGGACCCAAGAAGAGAGUUGUCACUCUUCGUCAAACACUACUCAACCAGACAUCUCGUGUUGCACUUGAAGAUAUUAAGCUCAAGUUUAUCGACACCUCUUCCAAGUUUGGACAUGGUCGCUUCCAGACAACCGAGGAGAAGCAGAAGUUUUACGGCCGCGUCAAGGCUUAGAAGUUGCCCUUUUAGCCGAAUUUGCUAUAUUAGCUGCUACUGUUGCUUGAUUCAAUUUUGCUUGAGUUUUAGACGAUUAAAUCUUUAUUCUAAACUUGGGUACUUUUUAUGGAUAACAAUUUCUUAAUUAUUGUAUUGCUGGUUUUUGGAUGUUUCGGUUAUCUCGGUGGCUGCUGUUUUUUCUUUAGUUUUUACUUUUGAUUUUCAAAGUAAAUAAUAAUUUAAAUUUAUACAAUAGAAACAUUAAUGAUUUUACCGGACAACAUUUGCACUUCGGUUGCAAUUCUCCUCAUGGAAAGGUCACUUUGUCGAAAUGUUGUGCGACAUCCGAUUUAAGUACCCGAUCGGUCCUUAAACUACUUUGUUCUCGAGUAUUUUAUACUCUAUAGCCCGGGAUCGGGGAGGUGGAUAACCUUAUCAUCAUCAUUGUUCAAUAGGGGAAAAGCCUUAGAGAGUUGAAGUUUUGAUAUUAAAAUCUAUUUCUGUAAGAGACUGGACAAUCAAGCUACAAGGGCCAUUGAUCAUCAAUGGCCAUUUUUUUAUUUUUCUAAAUUCCCAGUAUAAGGAGGCCUCGUUAAAAAAUUGUUUGACCUAACAAGGAAGAGUACCUCUAUAUAUUUACAAGAGUCGGUUUAUUUCUACGAUCAUUAUACAGCACAACCGUAGUUUAUCCACAAUCAAAACUUUAUUUCUAUAGAAACAAAAAAAAUAGCAAAAUAGCGCCCGUGGCCUAAUGGAUAAGGCGUCUGACUUCUAAUCAGGCGAUUGUGGGUUCGAGUCCCACCGGGCGUGCAAUUGUGUAUUUUCUUAUUUUAAUGGCCUGGAGGGUACAUUUCAAAAUUAGACUCGGUUACAUGUGCAUCUUUUUUAGCUAAAUCAACGGCUGUACUUGUAAUGAUCAAUGUCAAAUUACUUACACCGUUGAUUGAAAAAACGAGAAAACUAACCCCCUGGUUCAACCGGCUGUUCAAUGGGCCUACAAAUUAACAUCCUUAACCGGCCAUUGUAUCACGGUUCCCAUUUCGAUUCCGGAUCAUGGAACCAUUGACCAGGUUAAUCGUCCGUUAACCACGCGUCGGCCGGAGACCGUGGACAUGUUUGCUUUCAAUAAUGAAAAAUAUUAGUCAAUGCUUAUGCGAAAAGGACAUACGAGCAUGUGGGGGUACCAUGGUUCGCCGGAACGUUGCGAUCGGUCGUCCUGGACACUGCCGUUCCAAUUCCAUUGCAGCGUCGCAGCCGGAACGGACAAAUUAUAAUGAAAAUGCAAAAAAUUAGAGUUAAUGUCAAGUAAGUUUUUAGUAUUAAAAGAUUUGGAAUAAUAUACAAACUAUCAUUAAAACUCCAAUUUUGAUUUAAUUUUCGAACAAUUUUUAAAAUCUUGAGAAGUAGAAUUAAGGAUGGAAAUGUAAGUUAUGAAAUUAUCUCUUUACUUUAAGAGAAAAUAAAAAAUAAUUAGGACUAAAUUGCAAAUUUUGAAAACUUAAAAAACCUACUCAUGUUCCCUAGACCCAAAUCAAAUUUCAUUUAAGCUUUUGGAGCUAAUUGUAAUUUUUAAAACUUUUAAUUAAAAGUUUAAAUUCUAGUUUGAGGUCCUUCAAUCGUCGUUGGAGACCUGAAGAAGUAAAUUAUGAUGAUUCAUACGCGUGACAGCCGCAACUGUCCGAUUUUUUGCCAUGUCCUGGUGUUCCAACCGUUCUUUGCCCGUUCGGCAACAUUUUUCAUUGUGGAACGGUUUGGUUAUGGUUUCCCGAACGGAGGGCACCGUUCCGGCGAACCUUGGGAGUACGCUUAAAUAUUAAAAGUAUAGAGGUAUGUUAAUAAAUUGUAAUAUAUAUAUAUAUAUAUAAAAUUAUAGAGUGUUGCUAUUUCCACCUCCAAAGUAUCUCAAUUCACCACCAAAGAUAAUAAAAUGUUAUAAAUACCCCUCAAAUUUAUUACCCACCACCCUUCCUUAUACUUACUAUAUCCUCCAUGUUUUCUAAGUUAUUUUUAUUUUAGUUUAUUUAGUUAAUUAAUUUUUAAUUUUUAAUUUUAAUUUUAUUUAUUUUAUUCUUCAUAAUGAAAUAUAUAUUACAAGAUAUUUAAACUUUCAUAUCAGAUGUCCUACAAAUUAUGUAAAUUAUUCAAUUUAGGAAACAAAAUUAUAUUAGGCCAAACUGACCAAUUGUUGAGGAAGUUCAAGACCUUCUAUACAAUCACUCUUAAUUUAUUUAUCAAAAAAUAUGAAUUCCUACUUUUUUUAACCUUCAGAAAUGUUUUUCUAUGACAAAAGUAUUAUUCACUUAAGGUGGAGAGGGUGAGAUUUUGCGGUGAAGAUUUCCGUGAAAAUAGUGGGGUUUUUUUUAUAAAUUUUUUAAUUAGUUUAGUGGUGGAUGAUUUAUAAAUCUGUAAAAAAAUAUAGGUGAAAUAAGAAGGAAUAGGUAAAAUGAAAAAUAUAUUUAAUUUGAUGGUGAAAUAAGAUAUUUUGAGGGUGGAAAUAGUAUUUCUCUAAUUAUAUAUUAUAUAUUAUAAAUAGUAAUUUUUGUAUACUUCAAAAUAAAAUUUACUAAAAUAAAAUAGUAAUACUAAUUAUCAAUUAGCAAUUAAUUAUUAUUGGCACUAAUUAUUAUUAGUUUUUGUGACGAUUGAAUAUUGGGCUUUAACGUAGAUGGGCCCAAAAUUAAGAAGCCUCGAGCAUUUACUAUUGGUGAAAGAAGACCAUUUUACGAAAGAAACUGAAAACUAUAAAUACAAACAGCCCAGCAAACUAGGGUUUUUCUCUCACUGGAAAAGCCUCGAGUAGCAGCAGCAGUCAGGUACCUUCUAUCUCACACACACACACACACACACACACACACACACACACACACACAACGUUUGCUUCUGCAUUUUGAUUCGUUAGAACACAGCGUUUUUGCUGUAGAUUGUGCUAUACGAUACGACCAUUUGAUUGCAAUCGUUUACAUGUAAUUGAAAGCCAUUUUUGUUUUAUAUUGUUUCUGCAGCAAUACAUUUCAUCAUCCUUUCACUUUGAUUUAAUUGUUUUUGUACCCAUGAUCACUGAAAUUGUUAAUUGAGACCGCCAGAAAUGAAUUUUGUCAUUUUGUAUCAUCUAUUUGCGAAAAAGGAUUAGGAUCUUCGCAUUUUUAUUUCCCAAUUUCUUUUAGUUAUUGUUGAUGAAUUGUUAUUUUGCUGCAGAUUAAAGGAGGUGGAAAAUGUCUCACAGGAAGUUUGAGCACCCAAGGCACGGUUCCCUCGGUUUCCUCCCGAGGAAGAGGGCUGCUCGCCACAGGGGAAAGGGUACACUCCUAUUACAUUUUGCUCUAAAUUUGUUGAAAAAUGUUGUUUUAAUGAAUAAUCUGUGUAAUUUAAUAGUGCUUCUCGAUAUGAGUAUAGAAAUGUGUAUGAUGAUUUAAGUUUGGUCUAUCUUAAAAAAGGCUUAUUGAUUUGUUCGUCUGUUGUUUUUCGUGUUGUGCACUAUCAUCCAUGAAUUAAACAAAUUUGAAGUCUAUCAGUUUAUCAAUACAUAGUUGUUAGUUGUUACUGAUUCUUCCUGAGAAAUUUACUUGCAUAUCAGUCCUAAAAUCAAGAGAAAAUUAGUAUCUGUUUACGUUGUAAAUUCAAUCGAUUUGAAGCCUUUUGGAUUACAUCGGUUUACGUGUUGAUUAUUUGUUGCCUUUUUCGUAUUCAUUUUUCAGUAGUCUGUUACUGUGCUUAAGUUUUUAUAUUGAAUAAUGCAGUGAAAGCUUUCCCCAAGGAUGACCCAACCAAGCCAUGCAAGCUGACCGCUUUCUUGGGUUACAAGGCUGGCAUGACCCACAUUGUCAGAGAAGUCGAGAAACCUGGAUCAAGUAAAUUAUUAUCUCGUUUUAUUUAUUAAUUUCUGCGAUGCCUUUUGUUUUGAUCGGCAUGUUAACAGCUUUUGUUAUUUGUUUUCAUGAUCAAUUCUUUAUUCAAUUUUCCCUUGUCAAAUGCUUAGCUAUGACAAUUGGUUUUUCUUUCCGUAUAUUCUUCUAAAAGCAGAUACGUGCAUCUGUUAUUUGCAUGAGGCAAUGUUCUUUUACUGUCAAUAUCGUAGCUUAACGUAAAAUAUCUAUAAAUCAUAAUUGCAGAACUCCACAAGAAGGAAACCUGUGAGGCUGUUACCAUCAUUGAAACACCACCAAUGGUUAUUGUUGGUGUGGUCGGUUACGUCAAGACUCCUCGUGGUCUUCGCUGCCUGAACACCGUUUGGGCUCAGCAUCUGAGCGAGGAGCUAAAGAGAAGGUUCUACAAGAACUGGUGCAAGUCCAAGAAGAAGGCUUUCACCAAGUAUUCCAAGAAAAUGGAGACUGAUGAGGGCAAGAAGGAUAUCCAGGCUCAGUUGGAGAAGCUGAAGAAGUACUCGUCUGUUAUCAGAGUUUUGGCUCACACUCAGGUAUCAGUUAAUUCUUACAAUCCUACUUACCUCCGUAUAUAAUUUUCCACAAACAAUCAAAUUAAUCAAAUAUGCAUACUUUAAUUGGUUAACUUUCUUGAACACUACAAGUACACGAUUGGUCAGCAAUUAAGAUAAUCCAACCCUACAAACCGAACACACCCUUAUGUUUAAUGUUUAUUAAUAAGAACAUUUUUGUAUCAUGCAGAUUAGGAAGAUGAAGGGUCUGAAACAAAAGAAAGCACACUUGAUGGAGAUUCAAGUGAAUGGUGGAACAAUUGCUCAGAAGGUUGACUUUGGGUACGGUUUCUUUGAGAAACAGGUCCCUAUUGAUGCUGUCUUCCAGAAGGAUGAGAUGAUUGACAUCAUCGGUGUGACCAAGGGUAAAGGUUAUGAAGGUGUGGUCACACGUUGGGGUGUCACUCGUCUUCCUCGUAAAACUCACAGAGGUCUUCGUAAGGUCGCUUGUAUUGGUGCAUGGCACCCUGCUCGUGUUUCCUUCACUGUUGCCAGGGCUGGACAGAACGGAUACCAUCACCGUACUGAAAUGAACAAGAAGAUCUACAGGCUUGGGAAGAUCGGUAAAGAGGAGCACACUGCCAGUACCGAGUUUGACAGGUUCGAUUAUUGUACUAUAGCACUUUUUUUUUCUUCCCACUUUAAUGCAUAAAGAUGUUUUUAUUGUUUUGGACCUAUAGCUAAUGUUAGAUAUUGUAUGAUUUAUCAGGACUGAGAAAGACGUAACACCAAUGGGUGGAUUCCCGCACUAUGGUAUAGUGAAAGAUGAUUACCUGAUGAUCAAAGGUUGCUGUGUGGGACCCAAGAAGAGAGUUGUCACUCUUCGUCAAACACUUCUCAACCAGACAUCUCGUGUUGCACUUGAAGAUAUCAAGCUCAAGUUUAUCGACACCUCUUCCAAGUUUGGACAUGGUCGCUUCCAGACAACCGAGGAGAAGCAGAAGUUUUACGGCCGUGUCAAGGCUUAAGAGGAAUUUGGUAUAUUUAGCUUU